RNAcentral lists this ribosomal RNA (586 nucleotides) under uncultured bacterium. Its description in RNAcentral is "partial 16S ribosomal RNA". It matches the Rfam family "Bacterial small subunit ribosomal RNA", at positions 355 to 1375 of the family's 1533-position model. The record is from RNAcentral.
UGGGGAAUUUUGGACAAUGGGCGAAAGCCUGAUCCAGCAAUGCCGCGUGUGUGAAGAAGGCCUUCGGGUUGUAAAGCACUUUUGUCCGGAAAGAAAUCCUUGGCUCUAAUACAGUCGGGGGAUGACGGUACCGGAAGAAUAAGCACCGGCUAACUACGUGCCAGCAGCCGCGGUUAAUACGUAGGGUGCAAGCGUUAAUCGGAAUUACUGGGCGUAAAGCGUGCGCAGGCGGUUUGCUAAGACCGAUGUGAAAUCCCCGGGCUCAACCUGGGAACUGCAUUGGUGACUGGCAGGCUAGAGUAUGGCAGAGGGGGGUAGAAUUCCACGUGUAGCAGUGAAAUGCGUAGAGAUGUGGAGGAAUACCGAUGGCGAAGGCAGCCCCCUGGGCCAAUACUGACGCUCAUGCACGAAAGCGUGGGGAGCAAACAGGAUUAGAUACCCUGGUAGUCCACGCCCUAAACGAUGUCAACUAGUUGUUGGGGAUUCAUUUCCUUAGUAACGUAGCUAACGCGUGAAGUUGACCGCCUGGGGAGUACGGUCGCAAGAUUAAAACUCAAAUGAAUUGACGGGGUCAUAGCUGUUUCCU